GGGACGAUAAUGACGGUACCUGGAGAAGAAGCCACGGCUAAUCACGUGCCAGCAGCCGCGGUAAUACGUGAGUGGCAAGCGUUAUCCGGAAUUACUGGGCGUAAAGAGCGCGUAGGCGUCUCGAUAAGUCAGAGGUGAAAAGUCAGGGCUCAACCUUGGCCUUGCCUUUGAAACUAUCGAGAUAGAGUACUGGAUAGGAGGGCGGAACUACAAGUGUAGCGGUGGAAUGCGUAGAUAUUUGUAGGAAUGCCGAUGACGAAGGUAGCUCUCUGGACAGAUACUGACGCUGAGGUGCGAGAGCUAGGGGAGCAAACAGGAUUAGAUACCCUGGUAGUCCUAGCUGUAAACGAUGGAUACUGGGUGUGGGCCAUAGUAUGGUCCGUGCCGAAGCUAACGCGAUAAGUAUCCCGCCUGGGGAGUACGACCGCAAGGUUGAAACUCAAAGGAAUUGACGGGGACCCGCACAAGCAGUGGAGCAUGUGGUUUAAUUCGACGCAACGCGAGGAACCUUACCAGCUCUUGACA
Molecule: ribosomal RNA, 525 nt
Filed under: uncultured bacterium
Lineage: Bacteria
Description: bacterial SSU rRNA
Rfam family: Bacterial small subunit ribosomal RNA
Source: RNAcentral